GAUUUCUCUAGAAGCUUCUUUUCAUUCUUCCGACCACAAUUUCCGAUUUCAAUUGCUCUUUUCGCACGAGCAUGAGUCAGUCUACACAAAUCGUCAAAUUCCUCUACAGUUACGGCGGUAGAAUCCUUCCUCGUCCCUCCGACGGCACACUCCGUUACAUCGGCGGUUUUACUAGAGUCCUUUCCGUUGAUAGAUCUAUUUCAUUUGCAGAGUUGAUGGUGAAGUUUGGAG
Molecule: unclassified non-coding RNA, 231 nt
Filed under: Hevea brasiliensis (rubber tree)
Lineage: Eukaryota; Viridiplantae; Streptophyta; Magnoliopsida; Malpighiales; Euphorbiaceae
Source: RNAcentral